Molecule: transfer RNA, 40 nt
Filed under: Remiz pendulinus (Eurasian penduline-tit)
Lineage: Eukaryota; Metazoa; Chordata; Aves; Passeriformes; Paridae
Description: partial tRNA-Val
Source: RNAcentral
UUACACCUGAAAGAUAUCUGCUAAGCCCAGAUCGUCUUGA